AUUGAACGCUGGCGGCAGGCCUAACACAUGCAAGUCGAACGGUAACAGGAAGAAGCUUGCUUCUUUGCUGACGAGUGGCGGACGGGUGAGUAAUGUCUGGGAAACUGCCUGAUGGAGGGGGAUAACUACUGGAAACGGUAGCUAAUACCGCAUAACGUCGCAAGACCAAAGAGGGGGACCUUCGGGCCUCUUGCCAUCGGAUGUGCCCAGAUGGGAUUAGCUAGUAGGUGGGGUAACGGCUCACCUAGGCGACGAUCCCUAGCUGGUCUGAGAGGAUGACCAGCCACACUGGAACUGAGACACGGUCCAGACUCCUACGGGAGGCAGCAGUGGGGAAUAUUGCACAAUGGGCGCAAGCCUGAUGCAGCCAUGCCGCGUGUAUGAAGAAGGCCUUCGGGUUGUAAAGUACUUUCAGCGGGGAGGAAGGGAGUAAAGUUAAUACCUUUGCUCAUUGACGUUACCCGCAGAAUAAGCACCGGCUAACUCCGUG
Molecule: ribosomal RNA, 490 nt
Filed under: uncultured bacterium
Lineage: Bacteria
Description: partial 16S ribosomal RNA
Rfam family: Bacterial small subunit ribosomal RNA
Source: RNAcentral